Non-coding RNA from Sinocyclocheilus rhinocerous, 602 nucleotides. NCBI's taxonomy places the organism in Eukaryota, Metazoa, Chordata, Actinopteri, Cypriniformes, Cyprinidae. The record is from the annotation of a RefSeq genome assembly.
AUCUUCCUGAUUUUCCGCUUUCCUUCUCAAGCUGCAAACGUCACUCUACCUAAAGUCAAGAUCCUUCCACCCUCUCCAAAAGAAAUCUGUUCCCAGGACAAGAUAAAUGAUAAACGGUCAACUUUAGUGUGUGUGGCCUCAGGCUUUUAUCCCGACCAUGUGAGUGUGUCCUGGAAAGUGAAUGGCGUAGCGAGACAGGACAGUGUAUCAACUGACACCUCAGCCCAACAGGACAAGACAACAUUAAUGUACCAUAUCAGCAGCAGAAUAAAAGUUAAUGACACGGACUGGAUGGAUCUUAAGAGUAGCUUCGCCUGUACCGUCCAGUUCUUCAACGGAGAUGAAUAUGUCAAUGUCACAAACACCAUAAACGGUCAAAAAGUGAAGCCGAAAGGAUUGAAACUGCUUGGCUUUGGCUACAUCCUAUUCCUCAGCAAAAGCCUGCUGUAUGCGCUGGUUGUGGCUGGUGUGGUGUGCAAACUAAAGUUCUCAGCGAAGAAGAAACAAUUAGCAGAAGACUGAGAUGCGUUGAAAAUUUGUGACUUUAGGCCAGAAGUGACUUUCUCUGUUAUUUACAAGUUGUGUAAAAUAUCUGUGUAUUG